AGCAGCCGCGGUAAUUCCAGCUCCAAUAGCGUAUAUUAAAGUUGUUGCAGUUAAAAAGCUCGUAGUUGAAUUUCGGGAUUAGUACGCUGGUCGUGCCUUCGGUAUGUACUGGUGUUACUGGUUCCUACCUUCUGACGAACCGUCAUGUCAUUAAUUUGGUGUGGCGGGGAAUCAGGACUGUUACUUUGAAAAAAUUAGAGUGUUUAAAGCAGGCUCGCGCUUGAAUACAUUAGCAUGGAAUAAUGAAAUAGGACGUUCGAUCCUAUUUUGUUGGUUUCUAGGAUUGACGUAAUGAUUAAUAGGGAUAGUUGGGGGCAUUAGUAUUCAAUUGUCAGAGGUGAAAUUCUUGGAUUUAUUGAAGACUAACUACUGCGAAAGCAUUUGCCAAGGAUGUUUUCAUUAAUCAAGAACGAAAGUUAGGGGAUCGAAGACGAUCAGAUACCGUCGUAG
This 450-nucleotide ribosomal RNA is filed under the name uncultured Glomeromycotina. Its description in RNAcentral is "SSU rRNA". It matches the Rfam family "Eukaryotic small subunit ribosomal RNA", at positions 569 to 1023 of the family's 1831-position model. The record is from RNAcentral. Lineage: Eukaryota; Fungi; Glomeromycota.